UGGAGUAGAGGGGAGGGACUAUGAGGGCGUGAUUUACAAUUAAAAUUAGAUUAAAUUAAUUAAAAAAUAAUUUUAAAAUUUACAACUUACAAUACACCCCUGGCUGUGUGAGAGCCUCAGUUGGGCCACCCCUGGAAACGGACCUGUGUGUGUGUGUGUGUGUGUGUGUCCCCAAUCGGAAGCCCAUUUUUCAGAUUACGAUACCACGUGAAUGCCUGCUCAUGGGAUGAUGAUUACAGCAGACUGAUGGAUGUUUAAUUCUGUCGUUUUCCAGGGAUUUCAACCACCAUGUAUUCAGUCAGGUUGACAGACUGACUGGUUCUAGUUUUUAACCUCAAGCUACCAGGUACAGCUGAUAUCAUUAAACACCCGGUAAUGCUAUCUUGAUGCACAUAUCCCACCGAUGCACACACUGUCAACAAGUUACUAAAGAGACAUUGUGAAUUACCUGUAGUUCCGAUUUCCAUUCAUGAGGUCUCUGCCCGGUUCACUACCCGGAUCACAGUUGUCAAACGUUUGGGACUCUUCCUCCGUUCAAUCCGGUGUCUCCUCCGGGCAGUGCGCCGCCUCUGCACCGCUGAAUGGCCAAGCGCCUUGGUCUCCUUUUAGCUCCUCGACUUGCAGGCUCUGUCAAAAGAGGGGUCCUUCAGUGCGGUGGUCGUGGAUCCUCGGUGACCCCCACACACCGUCUACAAGGGAUCCACUAGGAUUUCAGUGCCACGGGGGAAAGCUACUGGUUGCUGAACGGCAGUGAAAACCUGCUAGUUAGCCAAGUUAGCUCGCUAGCAAGGCUUAAAAAAGUGAGAGGAACAGGCGACAGGAGCUGUCAGGAUAUCAUAGCAGCGGAGUCACUGAGCCUAAAUGAACACCUAACUACACAUGGCCCUUAAUAUACACGACAUUAAUGCGUAUUUUCAGUAAAACGAGCGUCGGAGGAGCUACAAUGAUGAGCUAGCUCGGCUGUUAGAGAGUUGGAUUCUGACAGUCGACGGUUACUUUUUAAAAGCAGCCGUUGAGUCGGCCCCGUGUCCUCAGCAUCUUCUCCCACAGACCCUCCGUCCUCUGGAGUGUGUAUCCCGGUAUGAGUAUUAAGCUGUCAGCGCCGCCAAGUAUCCGCCGACAAGUGUCAAGUUUUCAGUCUGGUUGACAGAUCAACUGUGCUGGGCUUCGGCGAGCCAGCUAAAUAUGGUGAAGUUGCCUUUCUGACACCGACAGGAAGAGGUGGGCUCUGUGUCAGCAGACGUCAGAAGAACCAACUCCGCCUUCACCCAAAGCACAGAAUGAGGGAUACAACACCGACCCCAACUGUGAAAGGCCCGGCAACUGGUGAGCCAAAAUACCUAACAGAUGGUAGCGGGCACGGAAGGCCACAAGACGAGCAUAGUAGGCUGGCGCAGGGAUGGAGACUGAGCGGGUACAACGCACGUAAGUGUGGCACAACUGGUAGGUUAGAAUCUGCAACUCGUCAGCCGUGAAACGAUUGUCGUCCCACAAGACGUAGUAAUGAGAUGGCCGGCUGGUACCCUGGAAACAGAGUGUGUAAAAAUGUUAGAAUAAAGAUAAACCUAUGCAAUGUGAACGUCUUCUAAUGACUUAUUAAGCUCGUUUUAGUACCUGUAUGCCAGCAUGGCUGCACAGGUAGAAGUCAAACUCAAAGGGAUGAGUGAUGCUGGUGUCCACUGUUGUCCCUGCAGGAAUGUUCCCACUCUUCCCGAUCUAUCAAAGAAAACACAAGGGAAGGGAUUUUUAACAAAUGAUCAAACAUACAUCACUUGAAAUAUUUUGAAAAUAUGUGGAAUGAAAGAAAGCUUACCCUCUCUGACUUGUCAGCACAGAAGAGGCGUGUGUGGUGGCGUUUCUGCACCACGAUGUAGGUGAUCCCGGGCUGAUAGUCCUUCUCCAGCUUGAUGCACGCGUCUCUGAUGGCGAGGAGCUCAUAGUGGAGAAUCUACGCAUAGGAAUAUUGUUUAGUUGAACUCAUCAUUGGUGGACUCUAGCAUAACAAAGAGCUCAGCUGUGUGACCCCACAUUACCUGUGGCAGCUGUCCCUCAGGAACUCCGUCUCUGUAGAAGAUGAUCCUGGUGGGUUUGAAGCGGGUGGAUUUGUAGAACUGAAUGAGCAGUUCGCGCACCAUGUAAGAGAGAUCUUCGAUGAUUUCUUGGCGGGGUCUUUGGACUCGCACUGUGGCACAGUAUCUGCUGGGAUGAGCAUCCAUACUGCCUACCACCUGAAAGAAAGCAGAGGGAAGGGUUGACAGAGGUGAUGAUUGAUUAGAUUGCCAUGAGUAAUACAAGUAUGAAGUUAUAAAGACCUUACAUUUCUAGAGGGAGGCCGUUUCUCUCUCUGAGCAACACAGAGAGACCAAUGCACGCUUUUAUUAACAACAGGCUAGACUACUGUAAUGCUCUUCUUUCUGGUCUUCCAAAGAACACAAUAAACAAACUGCAACUACAAAAUCCAACAGCAAGAGUUUUAACGAAGACCAGAAGGAGAGCACACAUUACGCCUAUUUUAAAAUCUGUACAUUGACUUCCCUGCUUUUAAAAUUAUUUUACUAGUUUUUAAGGCGCUGCAUGGCCUUGCACCAGACUACCUAUCAGAGAUGCUUUAGUGUAUAAACCUUAUGAUGACAGCAGACACAGGCCCUUAUGAGGACAGCAGACACAGGCCCUUAUGAGGACAGCAGACACAGGCCCUUAUGAGGACAGUAGACACAGGCCCUUUAGAAGGAGUGUGGACACACAUGAAUGAUGCUUUUUUUAGAGUAAAAGUUGAAACUGUUUAGGCAUUUCUCAGAUCUUCCGGGUCCUCUCUUUUAUCAGUUCCUAAGAGGAGAACAGAAACAUUUGGUGACGCUGCUUUCAGCCACUACGCUCCUUAACUAUGGAACAGCCUGCCAGAGGAUCUGAGAGGAGCUGACAGAGAUAUUGAGACUUUUGAACAUAAAUCAAAAACGUAUUUAAUCAGUCUGGCUUUUAUGUAGGGUUUAAACAAUUUUAUUACUUACCUUUUACUAUAAUAUUGAUUUAAA
Long non-coding RNA from Notolabrus celidotus (New Zealand spotty), 3032 nucleotides. RefSeq lists it as uncharacterized. NCBI's taxonomy places the organism in Eukaryota, Metazoa, Chordata, Actinopteri, Labriformes, Labridae. The transcript has 3 exons. The record is from RefSeq and is a predicted model, not a curated record.